This 457-nucleotide ribosomal RNA is filed under the name uncultured bacterium. RNAcentral describes it as "bacterial SSU rRNA". It matches the Rfam family "Bacterial small subunit ribosomal RNA", at positions 29 to 533 of the family's 1533-position model. The record is from RNAcentral.
AACGAACGCUGGCGGCAGGCCUAACACAUGCAAGUCGAGCGCCCCGCAAGGGGAGCGGCGGACGGGUGAGUAACGCGUGGGAACGUACCCUUUGCUACGGAAUAGCCUCGGGAAACUGGGAGUAAUACCGUAUGUGCCCUUCGGGGGAAAGAUUUAUCGGCAAAGGAUCGGCCCGCGUUGGAUUAGGUAGUUGGUGGGGUAAUGGCCUACCAAGCCGACGAUCCAUAGCUGGUUUGAGAGGAUGAUCAGCCACACUGGGACUGAGACACGGCCCAGACUCCUACGGGAGGCAGCAGUGGGGAAUCUUAGACAAUGGGCGCAAGCCUGAUCUAGCCAUGCCGCGUGAGCGAUGAAGGCCUUAGGGUUGUAAAGCUCUUUCAGUGGGGAAGAUAAUGACUGUACCCACAGAAGAAGCCCCGGCUAACUCCGUGCCAGCAGCCGCGGUAAUGUACAGUGU